Chiloscyllium plagiosum (whitespotted bambooshark) is the source of this 625-nucleotide non-coding RNA. Lineage: Eukaryota; Metazoa; Chordata; Chondrichthyes; Orectolobiformes; Hemiscylliidae. The record is from RefSeq and is a predicted model, not a curated record.
GAUAGGUACACAGCGACAUAGAUACACAGACAGAUAGGUACACAGAAACAUAGAUACAUAGACAGAGAGGUACACAGGGUCUUAGAUACACAGACAUAUAGGUACGCAGCGUCAUAGAUACACAGACUGAUAGGUACACAUGGACAUAGAUACAUAGACAGAUAGGUACACAGAGACAUAGAUGCACAGAGAGAAAGUUACACAGGGACAUAGAUACACAGAGAGAUAGGUACACAGGGACAUAGAUAGAUAGACAGAUAGUUACACAGGGACUCAGAUUCAUAGACAGAAAGGUACACAGCGACAUAGAUACACAGAGAGAUAGGAACACAGGGACAUAGUUUCACAGAGAGAUAGGUCCACAGGAACAUAGAUACACAGACAGAUAGGUACACAGGGACAUAGAUUCACAGAGAGAUAGGGACACAAGGACAUAGAUACAGAGACUGAUAGGCACACAGGGACAUAGAUACACAGAGAGAUAGGUAUCCAGGGACAUAGAUACACUGAGAGAUAGGUACACACAGACAUAGAUACACAGACAGAUAGGUACACAGGGACAUAGAUUCACAGACAGAUAGGUACACAGGGACAUAGAUACACAGACAGAUAGGUACACAGCGAC